RNAcentral lists this ribosomal RNA (289 nucleotides) under uncultured bacterium. RNAcentral's name for it is "partial 16S ribosomal RNA". It matches the Rfam family "Bacterial small subunit ribosomal RNA", at positions 28 to 314 of the family's 1533-position model. The record is from RNAcentral.
GACGAACGCUGGCGGCGCGCUUUAUACAUGCAAGUCGAACGUGAAGCUCGGAGCUUGCUCCGGGUGGAAAGUGGCGAACGGGUGAGUAUCACGUGAGAAACCUGCCCCGAAGACCGGGAUAACACCGGGAAACCGGUGCUAAUACCGGAUGCCCUCACCGGAUCGCAUGGUCUGGUAGAGGAAAUGGAUUCCGCUUCGGGAUGGUCUCGCGGCCUAUCAGCUUGUUGGUGGGUAACGGCCCACCAAGGCUUCGACGGGUAGCUGGUCUGAGAGGAUGUCCAGCCACACU